RNAcentral lists this ribosomal RNA (270 nucleotides) under uncultured bacterium. RNAcentral describes it as "partial 16S ribosomal RNA". It matches the Rfam family "Bacterial small subunit ribosomal RNA", at positions 524 to 792 of the family's 1533-position model. The record is from RNAcentral.
UACAGAGGGUGCAAACGUUGCUCGGAAUUAUUGGGCGUAAAGCGCGUGUAGGCGGCCUCGUAAGUCGACUGUGAAAGCCCUUGGCUCAACCAAGGAAGUGCAGUCGAAACUGCGAGACUAGAGUGCUGAAGAGGAUAGCGGAAUGGCCAGUGUAGAGGUGAAAUUCGUAGAUAUUGGCUAGAACACCGGUGGCGAAGGCGGCUAUCUGGGAAGUUACUGACGCUGAGACGCGAAAGCGUGGGGAGCAAACAGGAUUAGAAACCCCGUGUA